This 296-nucleotide long non-coding RNA is filed under the name Rattus norvegicus (Norway rat). RNAcentral describes it as "long non-coding RNA NONRATT021050". Lineage: Eukaryota; Metazoa; Chordata; Mammalia; Rodentia; Muridae. The record is from RNAcentral.
GCCCGUCAGGGUCACCCUCUCCUCCCUGCAGUGCAGUGUGGAAGCACGCAGUGAAGCUGCUCGUCAUGGUCUACGUGGUCACCAUCACUGGACUGUCGUGUUACAUACUGUUUGUGGACGCCACCUUCCUCUUCGAAAGGGUGCUGCCCAGCGUGCUGGGGCACCGUACCAUGUGGGAUCUUCGGGAGAUGAUGGCGCCUUUCUUGAAUUUGGAAGCGGAAGACUUGUUACCGUCCUAAAGAUCCUAAGUUACUGAUAACUGACUCUCUUCCUCUGCAAUAAAACAUGUUCCUAUA